GUAAAAAAAAAAGUAUUCAGCAUUUCACAUUUGUUCGACAGCCCCGAACAAGGAUGUUUUUGGAGUUGUUGAAAAUAACAUCAAAUGCACACAUCACGAUGCAUUUUCCUCAUCAACAUUAGGAUUAACUGCACCAGAAAUAAAUGUUUCAUCAAAGUUUUCAAUUUUUUAAAUAAAAUAUUCUAGCAUUUUGCACAAGGAGCACAUCGUUCAAACAAACGUGCAUGUGCAAAUUCUGAAUGUGAAAAGUAAUCAGAUUCAAGUUUACAUGGGUGUUAUUCUUUUAUUUAAUGGAUUAUUAAUAAAAGGAUUACCCACUUGAAUCGCUUGAUAGAAAUCUCACUAUGAUUGUCUUCAAGAGGUGUGUGUGUGUAGCUGUAUCUAUAUAAAUAUCUAGAUAGAGAUUUAAGCUGCAUGUAGCUAUUACAGUUGUUAGCGCUGGAAGUGUAAUUCCUCCCCAGUCCUGCGGUGGCGCUGUAACCUGCAUCUUCACUCACAGCGCGUGCUUUCCUAGUACAGGCGUGCGCGCGCUACAUAUAUCCCCAGCGAGAAGAGAAAAUGGAGGAAGUCAUUACGUUGACCGCGUUGCAGACUACCUAUAUUCCUAAAUAUCUCGUUGUGAUGUGAAUGGCUCAGGAACUGCUCGUUAUUAAACACUAUUCCCAGUUCAGCAGAGCCUGAACGGCACCCAAACAGCUGAAGUCAAUGAGGGAUUUACGAAAUGAUUAUUCCUUAAAGAUGGGGCCGUACCCACUUUAUUUGGACCAUUUUGCGCCUCUGGAUCACAACCUCCAGUGUACUGCUGUAGGCCUCUGUUAACCGGCUAACUCACAUUAUUGCCAAACUACCUACAAACCUACCACUGAGAAACAUUCUGUUCUCAUCGUGCUUGUGAUGGUGGUUCGGGUUGAUCUUCCGACGUAUCAGACUCGGGGCUCAAAUUGAUGAGGUAAAUCCGACAACAUUAUUACUGAGCUGAAAUGAUAUAAGAUAUGAUAGUGAGGGUUUCAUUUCCAACGCGUUGUGAGCGGUAUAACAAUCACAACAGACUUGGGCAUCUGACCAGUCAGAGCAGAGUAGACUCUCUGUAAGGAGGAGUUUAGUGUGAACAGAUCCUUGAGCGAGUCGUUUGUAACCCUUUGAACAAGAGGUGAUGCUGCAAUGUAAAUUAUGAGAAAAUUUGUGUUUUUUGACCUUGGAUGCAUGUAAACCUUUUGUUUGAGAUUUCUAAUACAAAAUUAGGCACUUUUAUACAGCAUAAUAAGGGCACUUUAAAGAAAAGGUAUUUAAAAAAAAAAAAAAAAACAAAACCUGUUUGCACUAUUUGCUGUCAGUAUUUUUACACCUCUGCAUUUUCCAAAGUUCAUUCAAAGAAAGUGUUGAAAAAUUAGUUUAUUUGUAAAUGCGCUAUGUCAGAACAAAAAUGAAAUCAUAAUCACGAAUCGUCAAAACGUUGAAUUUUAUUAAUUUUUUUUGCGAUAUCGCCAAGCCCAAGAUCGCAGCGAUCUAAUUCAAUGAUGAACUAAUUAAACUAAUAAAAUUCUUGCUCAACAAGAAUUUCUACACUUUUAUUGCAGCGGGAGCUGAUGUACAUCUCAUAUGCCUCAUGUUUUAAAGAAGUAUAAGGUUUAAUUAGGAAACAUGCAUCAGUUUUCCAAGAAAGCUUGCAUUUCGACCUCAUUAUCGUGGACACUUUGAUGAAGGGUGGCACAAUAAGUUUAUAAUUUUAUACUGUAGCGUUUAUAUCAAUCAUUUUUCUAUCUGUGUGUUACUGUAAUAUGUAUAUUGUUUGUUGCUUCUUUGGAUGAGCAAAAAGGAGUUCAUCAUUGACUGAUGAAUUUUAGCUUCUGGGUGCAGAUAUGAUAAAAUGCGUUAUAGUGGACUGUGUUCCACUUUCAGCAUGUACGCGUCGUAUGUGUGUGUAAUAUAUAAUUAGUACAUAUAUUUUUGGUGUUCACUCAAAUAUCAAUUACAGAACUGUUCCCUUAAGUAAAUCAACUAAAAUGUUCAAAAUAAAUACUCGUCAACCUGUACAUGGACCACGCCACCUUAACUGAAGUGGUGAAAAGCUCAACUCUGCAUUGUAUGUGUUGUGCUUCUCUCUUAACUAUGGAUAAUUCUGUUUGAAAUCUAGCAAGUGACUCCAUCAUGGAGGAGAUUGUGAGCCCUGAGCUAGCUCAAAGUCCUGAGCCUGAGUCCAGCCAGGAUUUGGAUUCCAGUUCACAAGGUACCACUGACCUUGGAGCGCUGUAUGAAUGAGAGCUUCAUUUACCUGGUUCGCAGCAGCUUGGUGGAACUUUAAUCUGGCUCUGAAUCAGUUCUACUAUUGAACUUAUUGUUGCAAACUGGUGUCUCAAUUCAAAUCUUGCACUCUAAAUCGAUUCGGGGAAUCAUUUCAAUUCUGCUAUUGGAUCUUGGCCUCGCCGAAUUCUGUAUGGCGAAUCUAGCCGAUGAAUGCCACUUGCUUAGUCACGUUUGCUUUUGCCAAAUUCAGCUUGAUUUUCCUUUUUGAUUCUUUCAAAG
Long non-coding RNA from Ictalurus punctatus (channel catfish), 2523 nucleotides. The record is from Ensembl. NCBI's taxonomy places the organism in Eukaryota, Metazoa, Chordata, Actinopteri, Siluriformes, Ictaluridae.